Molecule: ribosomal RNA, 445 nt
Filed under: uncultured bacterium
Lineage: Bacteria
Description: partial 16S ribosomal RNA
Rfam family: Bacterial small subunit ribosomal RNA
Source: RNAcentral
GUGAGGAAUAUUGCGCAAUGGAGGCAACUCUGACGCAGCCAUGCCGCGUGCAGGAAGAAGGCGCUACGCGUUGUAAACUGCUUUUAACCGGGAAGAAACCCCAGGACGUGUCCUGGGUUGACGGUACCGGAGGAAUAAGCACCGGCUAACUUCGUGCCAGCAGCCGCGGUAAUACGAAGGGUGCAAGCGUUAUCCGGAUUCAUUGGGUUUAAAGGGUGCGUAGGCGGAGCGUUAAGUCAGUGGUGAAAUCCUGCAGCUUAACUGUAGACUUGCCAUUGAUACUGGCGCUCUUGAGUGUGCUUGAAGUGGGCGGAAUGUGCCGUGUAGCGGUGAAAUGCUUAGAUAUGGCACAGAACACCAAUUGCGAAGGCAGCUCACUAAGGCGAUACUGACGCUGAGGCACGAAAGCGUGGGGAUCGAACAGGAUUAGAAACCCUAGUAGUCC